Molecule: long non-coding RNA, 2196 nt
Filed under: Carica papaya (papaya)
Lineage: Eukaryota; Viridiplantae; Streptophyta; Magnoliopsida; Brassicales; Caricaceae
Description: long non-coding RNA (CPAP_LNC002736)
Source: RNAcentral
GGGUCGUAUUACAGGUAGCCAGCUGGUGAAAAUGAGAGGGCUUUACAUAAUUUCCUGGCUAAACAGAUUUGGAGAGCAAGGGUGACUCCGAGAAUUGUUUUUUUUGCUUGGGAAGCCUGUAGAGAAAGUAUAUUCACUGUUGAUAAGCUUAGGAAAAAGGGUAAGAUCAUUGUUAAUUGUUGUUAUCUCUGUUUUGAGUGCGGAAGAGUCUUGUAAUCACUUCUUUGGUGUCCUGGGACAUACGGGCUUUGGGAUAUGAUCUAUGGACAUACGUUCAUUGGGUGAUCUCCGGGACUAUUUGUGGGGAAUUAUGAGCUUGGAAAGGGACAUGUGUCAAUGGAAAAGUUGCUAAUUUGAUUCAUUUGACUAUUUUUUGGAUUAUUUGAAAAGAGAAGAAUUCUAGAGCCUUUGAAGGCAAAACAUUAUACUUGUAUAAAUUAGGAGAUAUAUAGAUUUAUUAUCUCGGAACUAGUAUGUUAGGUCAUGAUAUUAUUAGUGAUAAGGAUUUUGGAAAUGUUGUUGAAACUCUAACCACAUUAUAAGGUUGUACAUGGGCGGUACCCCCUUUUUUGAUACGUCGUUAAUACAUACCUUACACUUUUAUCUAAAAAAAAAUAUAUAUAUUUAAUGUAAAUUGGAUUAAAGAGUAUACGGGUAAAAUACAUUUAUAUAAUUAAUUAAUUAUUUUUUCUUAAUUCUAGAAACCUGUAUAUAUAGUACUGUAAUGUUAAGUGAAAUAUACCAUCAAUCGUUCUUCCCAAUAUGAUUUAAUUAAUGUUAGAAAAAUGAAUCAUCUACGGUCUCUGAUUGAAUGUUAGAGUGCAUAUAUUCAUCACGUUGAAGUAAGAUACUAAUAUAAUUCCCUAUCUUCAAAUGGAAAGAAAAACUUACAAAUUUUUGAAUUCUAGUAAUUUUUAGUAAAACCUGUAAACAUCGAUAGAAAUCUUGUUACGUAAAUUUUCUUUGUGUUUGAUUCUGAUACGAAACUGCAAUAAGCCUUACUUUUUAACUCAAACAAAAAAAAGAAAUGCAAUGAGUCUUAAGUAGGAAGAGUCUUACCUUUUAUAUCUAUGGGUACUUUUUAUUGUUUAUAGUUGCAUCAUUUAAACGUGAGUUUAUGUUUAUCUAAUAUAAUCUUUCUAGGACUACGAUUAAUAAUGAUGAAUGUAUGAAAAAAUUGGUUAGUUGAUCUGCCUAUCAUCUUGUACAUUUGCCAAGAGGAAGGGAUUUUAAUUCAUGGAUUAUUAUAAUCAUUUUUUUAUGUUAUGAUUUUCAGAUUUUUAUUUCCCAAAAAAAAAAUCAUUUUCUUAAGAAAUUGUAAAUUUUGUAAUAGGAAAAUGAAUUUCACAAAUUUUUUUUGCUUUUCGACCUUUUUAUAUUUAGAACGCAAAUGAAAAUGAAAAUUGUUCGGUCACCAAAAAAAAUUUGCUCUUCUACUUUUUAAGUUUGGAAUGUGAAUUUAAAUUUGGACUUAUUAAUGAAUUCUUUACUUUGUUUUGUCUUUUUGAGACUUAAUUUGUUCCAAAGAUUAAGUCUUAAUGCAUUUUUUGCUGCUUGUUGAGGUAGAUAGACUUGAUUAAACUUACAUCUCUUCUAAUGUAGGUAACCAAGAGUUAUGGUGCUUUAAGAAGAUAAAUUUCGACAGGGAUUGGUGCCUAUUAGGGCAAUCUUCUAGUCUCAGUUUUGGUCAUAUGCCGAGGAAAUACUGUCAUGAAGGCCAACUGGUCAGCAACUACCCAGCAAGAAAAGAGGCACAAGGUCUAUCAGAAAAAUAAAACAGUUGAAAAGUGUUUGUUUUACUAACGACAGUUACAAUAAGUUAGUGAUUGAUGAUAAACUGUAGUUUAAUUGUCCUGUUGGGUAAAUGGUCUCUGCUUGAGUGAAUUUGGUAUUAUAUCUAAAACGUGGGAUUGUAUUUGUUAUAUAUAAAGUAGCUCCAGUGUUUGUAUUAUUGCCUACCCAUUUAAAAUUAAGGUCUGGCUCAGUCCUUUUUGCUCCCUUUCAAACCUUUUUGAAUGUCAUCAUUUUAGUUAUUGGAUUACCAAGAAUGUCUUCGUAAUUUUUUUUGGACUAAAUUACUAAUAUAGUUCUUAAAUUAUGAAUUAUAUCAUAAUUGAGUUUUUUUUUUUGGGUUAUAAUUUAAUCUUUGAAUUUGUUGUCAAAACGUAAUUUUGUUGUUAUUGCUAGUUUUCUUUU